AGCUAGUGAAAUUUAACUAAUAAAAGUGAAGUGAAAUAUCUCAUUAACUUUACAACAAAAAAAUCAACUGAGAGGGCGGUAGUAGCGAUGAGCGAACUCGCACGAACCCAAGCUUAAAACACCGGCAAAAUAUUAUUGAAUAAAUAACCAUAGGGGUGCUAGUCCCGUAAGCAA
RNAcentral lists this ribosomal RNA (174 nucleotides) under Schmidingerella taraikaensis. Its description in RNAcentral is "partial Bacterial large subunit ribosomal RNA". Lineage: Eukaryota; Ciliophora; Spirotrichea; Tintinnida; Rhabdonellidae. The record is from RNAcentral.